AUUUCUGGACAAUAUCCUAACAGAAAAGAAUUAAAAAGAAAAUGAGAAGCACUGCAGCGCACCCUAUUGCUGAGGGCGUCGUUGAUAUCAUCGUCUUCGCUUUUGGGAUAAGUUUAGAUCUGUUAAUGCAGGCUAAAUGGAUAGUGCCAUAAUGGGGAAGAGGAUCUUAUGAACUAACAGGGCGCGACACGCGAGUUCCACAGUAUCAGAGGAAUCCGCUGUCGACAUGGAACAAAACUAUUGUUGUCAUCCAAACAUACCAUCAGCUUGUGUCUUGUGAGCACUCUCAAAGCAAUGCUUCCUACUUCUCAUGGCCCACCUCCAGACGAUUGAAUGGAUCUUCUGAACAUACGGGGAAGCAAGCAACCAGUUUAAUCGAGCUGAUAACAACUGUGGCAUGUCAUAGCCAGAUCUUGCUCUGUGAUAGUCCCGGCACUGCAAUUGGGUUUCGAGUCUGCAAGGGUGCAUUGACAGAUAUACCUGCUAUUCUUGUUUUUGUUGCCCGUAAAGCUCGUAAGUGGUGACUCAACCACAUCCAGUCUUUACCAUCUUCCCUCGAGGGACCAGGAGGCGUAUGGUGUGAUGUAGACGUCGUUGACCUCUCAUAAUUUGGUGCUUCUAAAGAACUAGUAUACACUGAGCUUGUUCGGGUUACGAGGAAGCGAUCUGUGUGUUGGUUCAGGUUCCCAGGGACAGGCCCUGAAGCGAAGGACGGGGAACGAGCAGAAUCAAUGUGACUGCGACUGUGAAGGGUGCAGGCGAGAUUAUUUUCUUGUUGCGGGUGAAAACCAACAAACCAUUCACCUUGAAGGGAAUAGUGGGAUAUUCACCCUAUUGACUGGCCAGAAAGAUGAGAAGCCAAGGCCUAUUGAGAUCAUAUGUGGUGAAACAGCAAAUCAUGGGCAGUUGAAGCUGAAAGUUGGCCAACCUCCUGAGAAUUGGACAAGUGGAGUUGAUCUUGGUGGUCUUCUUAAUGUUCUGAUAACAACCAGUGAAGGACUUCAAGAAGUAGUGCAAGAGCUAAUAAAUGCAUUAGCAGCAGUUGCUGAUCUUGCAGAAGGAACAUUACCUAAGGGUAUAAAGGAAGAUAUAUAUGAGCCUUUGGGUUUCAACCUGCAACAAAUCCUCAAAGAAGAUGAACCUGUUUAGGGGUGAACCACCCCUUUGUGCAUAAUGAGACGUGGUCGAGACGGCACCGGCCAAUAUAGAAGAACAUCAGUUCAUUCCCAACCUCAUCAAUGGCCCCUAUGCACAAAAAAGAUUCAAGAGAAUACCCCUGAAUCAAAUAAUCUAUCAGCACCAAGGAAUGGCUCGGAUGAAGACCUCAGUUCUGCAUUGCACUUUGGAGAUAGUGAACCAAGACAAGGCGUUCAAAGUCUUCCAUCAUUAUCGAAGAAGCAAAAUAAUAUAAAGUGCUUACAGUUGCAGGAAAUUUGAGCCUUCUCAUUUUGUUAUCCAAAGCCAUCUUUUCUACAUUAUUUUGUUGAAUAAUCAAUGAGUUCAAAUGAGCUUCUCUUUCCAAGAGCAGACUGCCUGUGCCUUGGAGAGUAUGAAUUCUGAAUAUAAGUAGCCAGAUUUUAUAAAUAGAGGGGCUGGACAGUGUUGCACCAGGGGAUGCUGUUUCCUAGUUUUAUCUUUUUCCUUCUUUACAACUCGGUGUGGAGACUUGUAGGUCAUACUUAACGAUGACUUGCAGGAAAUGGUGCAUGGGACAUAAUCUGGCCUGAUCCCUUUACAUCUCGAGGAUGGUUAAAUCUUGAAAAAGCUGUGAUUUGUAAAGAUGAGAGACCUCUCAGGUUUCAAUUUCUUGUGCUACUGUUUAACAGGUAAACUCCCAUUUUCACUGCUGGUCUUGUGAUAUUCAACUAUAUGCCUACCUGCAAUAGGAGAAAAGUUCUUAAAAAUUAAAGUGAAGAAGCUUUUGGUCCA
This is a long non-coding RNA of Papaver somniferum (opium poppy), 1929 nucleotides long. RefSeq lists it as uncharacterized. The record is from RefSeq and is a predicted model, not a curated record. The transcript has 5 exons. Lineage: Eukaryota; Viridiplantae; Streptophyta; Magnoliopsida; Ranunculales; Papaveraceae.